This 251-nucleotide ribosomal RNA is filed under the name uncultured bacterium. RNAcentral describes it as "partial 16S ribosomal RNA". It matches the Rfam family "Bacterial small subunit ribosomal RNA", at positions 525 to 775 of the family's 1533-position model. The record is from RNAcentral.
ACGUAGGGGGCAAGCGUUAUCCGGAUUUACUGGGUGUAAAGGGAGCGCAGACGGCUGUGCAAGUCUGAAGUGAAAGGCAUGGGCUCAACCUGUGGACUGCUUUGGAAACUGUGCAGCUAGAGUGUCGGAGAGGUAAGUGGAAUUCCUAGUGUAGCGGUGAAAUGCGUAGAUAUUAGGAGGAACACCAGUGGCGAAGGCGGCUUACUGGACGAUGACUGACGUUGAGGCUCGAAAGCGUGGGGAGCAAACAG